UACGAAGGGGGCUAGCGUUGUCCGGAAUCAUUGGGCGUAAAGAGCGUGUAGGCGGUCCGGUAAGUCCGCUGUGAAAGUCGGGGGCUCAACCCUCGAAUGCCGGUGGAUACUGUCGGGCUAGAGUACGGAAGAGGCGAGUGGAAUUCCUGGUGUAGCGGUGAAAUGCGCAGAUAUCAGGAGGAACACCUAUUGCGAAGGCAGCUCGCUGGGACGUAACUGACGCUGAGACGCGAAAGCGUGGGGAGCAAACAGG
RNAcentral lists this ribosomal RNA (253 nucleotides) under uncultured bacterium. Its description in RNAcentral is "partial 16S ribosomal RNA". It matches the Rfam family "Bacterial small subunit ribosomal RNA", at positions 524 to 776 of the family's 1533-position model. The record is from RNAcentral.